This 2870-nucleotide long non-coding RNA is filed under the name Anas platyrhynchos platyrhynchos (common mallard). RNAcentral describes it as "lncRNA (ENSAPLG00000025117.1)". The record is from RNAcentral. Lineage: Eukaryota; Metazoa; Chordata; Aves; Anseriformes; Anatidae.
AUGAGAUGGUUGCAGAAAACCUGGCGGGGUUUCCCCUUGGGAAGCGGUUUGGGACUGUUCCCGAAGCAUUUCUGCUUUCCACAGCAGGGACAUCGUGGUUUGGAAAACAUCGAGUGCACUGGGAAAGAGCGGAUCCUGAGCUACCUCCUUCAUUUUCCACUCUUGAAUGCUCAUAUCCGACUCCACCUUUAUGCUGAUACAUUUGCAAGGAGAAAACCCGUGUUUGCCAAGCACCUCGAGACCUGCACGAUGCUCUCAGUCGCUCCAGUGAGGACCACCCAGCAACUCAGGGGAUGUUGUGUUGAGGAAUACCCUGCUUAAUGGAGCUGUCUUGGUAAAAUAGACCUGGAAGCUGCUGCCCGCGGCCAGUGCCAGGAAAGCUCUGACUCAGAGCUGCUGUUACCGAAAUGCCGGUCCCUGCGCUAUUUCUGAACUUCCCCUCACCUCCUGCCCAGCUGGAGCAGAUCCGAGCACUGGCGCCUAUAUGGUGUGUAUAGCCCCAGCGGGGAACGUACAGCCUUGCAGCCUGCCCCACAAAUUUACUGUCCUUGCAAUCCCGGGGACCUGAGCGUGUUCUUUUCCUUCCUCCAGGCAUCAGCACACUGGAAGAUUGGCAAAGCCAAGGUGGGACGAGCUGCUGUGGCUUCUACUGACCGUGUGUGGUGGUUGUUUCCUUGCAAAAAGGAACCAAAACUCCUGAAAAGGCUCAGUUCCCAGGCAAUUGCACAGUUAUGCACAACAGAGCAGGGAAAACGGCAUUAAACUCAGCAUAAGGUCUUUGCAAGUUCAGCCAGCUGCAUAUCAAUUAAUUUGCAGUUGCAAGAUAAGCAGAUCCUUCAGCACUACAUUUUCCUUGAAAAUAGUGAUUUCUAUUACGAGCAAGACAGACCCAGCCUAUCAUAACAAUCUGCUCUGAAUUAUUUAGCAUAUUCACCCAGCAUGUUUGACUUGUUUUUAAAAGACUUUUUUCCUAGAGAGAUAAGAAACUCUGCUUUACAUAGAAGCCAUUUCACAAUCAGCUCACUACACUUAUCCACUUCCUUAAGAGGCUUUAUUACACUAAAUUACUGGAUAAUCUGUGGACACACAGCCAUGACAUCAGAUCUCUUCUCUUCAAGCUUUGCUCGUUUUGACUUUUGAUCUGGAGCUGCUCGUAUCGGUCCAAGAGGUCCUAUUUUGCCCACAUUUACUUGUCACUGUCCUGUCACGCUGCACUGUGCUUGUUUGGAAAGUUGGCAUCAGCUCAAGUGGUUGUUCUUGAAAGAUUUUUUCUUUUUUUUUUGCUAAACUUUUUGUUGGGGCCUCAUGCGUUCUUACUUUUUGCAUUUUCUCAGCCCAAAGUAAAUAUUGGAUCUUACCCGAAAGACCAGCAGGGCCUUGGCAGGGCAUGUGGCAGUGCUUGUGAUGACCAUCAGUGUUUGACCUCAUGCUGAGCUGAAAGGACACGUAUGUCCUUCAGUCUUUCUCUCCAUCCCCUAUAGGAAUUGACACUUUCUUUGUUAAGACCAUUUCUAUUAGUCAGGGAUGAAUUGUACAAUCUGCUUUAAACCUGAGUGUCACCUUCAUAAACGAUACUGGGAUACAGUGUAAUGCAGUUAAAUAUAUAAAACAAUGCUUUAUAAAGUUGCUUCUCUGCUCCUGUGAGUUCGCAUCAAGGAAAAAAAAAAAAAGAGAGACUUAUUCAACACCAGCUGGUGGUUACCUGGGAGUGGAGAGAACGUGCUCCUAACCCCUUGGUCUGGACAGGCAAUGGGCUGACAUUUUCUGUUCCUGCUCUCAGGAAUGGUCUUUGCUGGUCUGGCAAGAGCUGUCCUGCCACAGAUUGCAAUGCCAGCCCUGUGAUCUUAAGGCAAAAGUAAAUGGUGGGGUUUGAAAGCAGCUUGAAGAGUGUUGUAAAUUAUAAAAAUCCUGUUUUUAUAUCCUUAAGAAAUAAGUAAUCGUGGGGAAGAGGCUGCCGUUACACCCCUAGGUAGAUGAGGAUCACUCUGAGAUCUGGCAAAGCAUCUCUAUGAGCAUGUCUAUGAGAGUUUUCCUUGUUCCAUGGUGCUGCAUAUAGCCAUGGGAUGCAAACAAUUUACUGUGACUUGGUGUGGAUGAAUGUGUCUCUCUUCUGCAUAGGGACUUUAAGAUUCCUACAGAUGAAAGGUGCAGUUUAAGUGCAGCCAUACUUUACCCAUAUAUAGCAACGACAGCUGGAUUUGGUUAAUCCAUUGGGCAUGCUGUAAAGCCUGCCUGUUUUCCCAGGCACUCACAGUGGGGGUGGAUUGAGAAGGUUGCUCUGUGCAGAGCUGUAAGUGCUGCUGGUAUGGGGGACAAACGGUGCUGUGGGCUGCAUGUGCUGUCUGAGUUACAGGAGACACGGAUUUUUACGGUGUCUGUGAGAUGUCGCUUUUUAAAUGUGAAAAAGCAAAGGAACAGACUCUGAAAUUUCACGUUUGAGUAAGUACAAUUUAUUCCAGGCAGUGCUGAAGGUAGUUUCUUAACACAAUGCUCUACAUGCUCCAGCAAGAUCCAGUGAUAACAUCACUGGCUAGUCAUUAUGCACUAGUCUGGGCUAGGAUGACAACUACUGCAGAAAUACUUACCUGCAGUGGAGAAACAAGCAUCAAAGUUUGUCUAGAGUGCACCAUGGAGUCAGCAGAUCAAUUAGAUGAAACAGCAUGUCUGCAAGCCUCUUCCUUCCCAAACUGACAGUUUACAAUUAGGAUCAGCGAGAUGCUCACAGAUGUAGUCAUCAGCAGGCCUUCUGUUUCCAUGUGCAUCUUAUGCGUGGUUCCUGUAAUUGUAGCAGAGCCAGAAUACAUAUUUAGUUGGCCAAAAUGAGGAUCAGUUGCCUUUAGUUAUAUGGAAUAAAGUGACAAAGGUAAACA